RNAcentral lists this long non-coding RNA (560 nucleotides) under Anser brachyrhynchus (Pink-footed goose). RNAcentral describes it as "lncRNA (ENSABRG00000000060.1)". Lineage: Eukaryota; Metazoa; Chordata; Aves; Anseriformes; Anatidae. The record is from RNAcentral.
UGCCACUCCUUAGACUGAUGGUGCUCAAGCAAAUUGCUUUGAGCCCUAUAAAAAACAAGGCCAACAACAACAACACUAAAAUACAUAAAAGAUGAAAAACCUCAAAGGUAAAUUGAUGCAAGUUUUAAUGCAAGAGAACAAGCAAAAUGGAGGCAGUGACAGGACUGAAGCUGUUUAAACAGAAGUAUUUCAUUACAUUUUCAACUGGAAUGGAGAGGAGCAUAACACAAAAUGUCAGAAGAGCAGAAAGUUAACAUUUAGAGGAAGACGUCUGCUCUGUAUUGCAUUAUUGCAAGUCCUUUUCAGAGGAUCAGGGAAAACAGAUCAGCCUCUUUUUGAGCUCACGCAACUAUUGUUUUUUGGAAGUGCUGACCAAACAACCCUCAGGUGCAUAGCUACGGCUGGGGAAAUUGUGAUUAUUGUUCCAAGGACUUGCCAUGGGGAAGCUAAGCAUGGAUUCUUAAUUUGUACCAGAUGGGACCAUGGCUCUUACAUUUUGCAGAGAAGUAUUUAGAAGCACUCUGAGAAUAAAUAUGAUAGCCUGCAGAUUAGUGUUAACA